UGAUGAUGCUGAGUGACAAUGAAUCUCCGACGAAGAUGAUGGCGGUGGUAAGGCACUUUGCCAACGAGCUUUUCCGGUGACGUUCCGUUCCGUUCGGGUGUAGAUUAUCGUCAGCCGCUUGACAUCGGGUGGUGGCGAGCAGCGGCCAGACGAGAACAAAAAAAAAAGGAGCCGACAAACGGCGUCGAGCUCCGGCGAGUUACGGCGUGGCCGACGAUGAAUCGACAGGGGUUACCGAUGACCAGUUUCGGCGGCGCCACCAGUACGACGGCGGUGAUGGUGGUUCUGAGGAUGCUGAUGACGAUGUGGAUGCUAAACAUCACAGUUGAAGUCCAGCAGCCCCGAUGUUCUUGAGUUUGCUCCGAUUUGGUUCGAGUCUCGGUCAAGGCAAGUCAGCGGACAGACUUCGAGUUUCGGGUAAGUGGGAGCGAGAUUGGUUCGACCCGGUUCGGAUGCGGAUCAACAGAGGUCAAGGUGGUUCAGGUCACGGUUCGGUUCGUAUUUGAGAAGGUUCGGGACUGUUAUGGUUCAACUCGACUUGUUUUGGUUCAUGUUUUGUUCUACGCGGUUCAUGCUCAGAUCCGUUUUGGUUCGGGUACUGUUCGGUCAACAAAGUCACACCAGUCAUCAUGGCGCGUUGACUGGUCAAUGCUGGUCAACUCAGUCAAUGACCGGUCAACGGAGUCAGCCGGUUAACAGCAGUCAACACGCAGCCCGGAAUGUCAUAGUUGCACGCUACGCUAGCAAGUUCACAUUCUUGGAGUAACAUCACGGAAUCACGUUAAGCUAGCUUUGCACAGGAAUGUCAAGGUUGCAUUUUUCAAAACUACGGAACGGUUGGAAUAGGAGAACCCACGGG
Helianthus annuus (common sunflower) is the source of this 859-nucleotide long non-coding RNA. RefSeq lists it as uncharacterized. The transcript has 4 exons. The record is from RefSeq and is a predicted model, not a curated record. NCBI's taxonomy places the organism in Eukaryota, Viridiplantae, Streptophyta, Magnoliopsida, Asterales, Asteraceae.